GAGUAAUCCAAUCAGUUUUAUUCAUUAAAAACAAACCAAAACUACUUCCCAGUCAAGUAUCUACACUAACUAAAACUACUUCUCAGUGGCGGAGCCACCCUUACCCAAGGGGUGUUAAUCGACACCCUAUCGCCGGAAAAUAACACCAUAGUAGAUAGAUAUUUUAGAUAUGUUUUUCUUAAAAAUUGAAUAUUUACAAGGGGUUGACAACCCUUGACAUAAGACAAACUCUUAGUGCAAUGAUUAAGGGGUGUCAAAAAUUACAGAAGGUUGCAAGUUUCAUUCCCCAUAGUAGCAAUUUUUUUUGACACCCCUUUGUAUAAUUUCUGGCUCCGCCACUGCUACUUCUCUUUCGACAAACCAUAAAACCAGAACCAAAAGAGAUGGCCUCCUUCACAUAUUCAUUUGGCAGUCACUUCAUAAAUCGUGAAUCUGAUUUUAGUGGUCAAUGAAGUGAGACGAGAACCAUAAGGUCUCAAAUUCAAAUCUUAUCGAAAUCGCAUUCCGACCCCGAUAUCGCAUAAGUCAAUUAUGGGUCAAGCUUCUUCAUAUUUCCAACUUCAACUUUUUUCCAAUUUCCGCUAAAAUGGCUCAAAUUCUACGGACCACCAAAUCUGAAUCCAGACGCGCGCCUAAGUCCAAAAUCACCAUAAGAAGUUGUUGAGAUUAUCCGCAACCCAUUCCGGGUCCGUUUACCCAAAGUCCAAUUCCAAUCAGCUUUUCACCGUUCAAACUUCCAUAACUAAAUUCCUUCUUCCAAUUUGACUCUAAACCAUCCAUAAACUGAAUUCCACCAUGCACGCAAGUCGAUACUCAUAUUCUGAAGCUGUUCGAGACCUUACGCCGUUAAACGAAGCUUAAUUUCUCAAAACGACCGAUCGGGUCGUUACAUCCUCCCCCUCUUAAAACCAAUAUUCGUCCUUAAACGUGCUAAGAUUCGCCUUGAAAUCCUCAAGCAACUGAGUACACACUUCCAACAUACACCCGCGGGUGAUCCCACGUCACCCCAAUCCACAUAAGCAUGGCGACAACAUCUCAACUGAAAUUUAGCCUUUCUAGCAAUAUCAAAAAACCUUCAAGCCAGAAUUCUCACAGACUCAAACUAUAUUUGGAAAAUGCUAUCAAAUAAAAAGUAGGACAAGUCCUUGCUACUUGUAACACUGGAAAAGGUCAACUUUAAAAGUAUGGAGCAGUCAAAUAUAGAACACACAUAGAUUUAUCUCCAUAACACACUAUAAGAGAAUCAAUAUCUAACAGCAUCGCAAGUAGUGUGACAUAAGUCAUAUCCUAUAGUAUUCAAUUCCAUGCACAUCAUACAACAACAACUCAAUAUAAUCCCACUUAGUGGGGUUUGGGAAGGGUAGUGUGUACGCAGACCUUACCCCUACCCUGGGGUAGAGAGGCUGUUUUUAAAAUAUCUUUAAUCUUUAGCCACUGCUUUAAUAACUUUAACUUCCCGGACGAAACUACAAUUCUGCUCAUGUCCUUAACUUUUGAACUUAACUUCAGCACUUCAGAAAAACAUGUCAUUGAUUUUGAACUUGUAACUCUAAGUUUAGGACUUCAGAACUGCAUUUCCUUAACUUUUGAACUUGUAACUGUAAGUUCAUGACCAAGUGUCCUUAACUUUUGAGCUUGUUAGUCUAAGUCAACAACAACAACCCAGUAUAAUCCCACUUAGUGGGGUCUGGGAAGCGUAGUGUGUACGCAGACCUUACCCCUAUCCUUGGGUAGAGAGGCUGUUUCCAAAUAGACCCCCGUCAUCCUUCUCUCCAAGAAUUUCCCACCUUGCUCUUGGGAAAACUCGAACUCACAACCUCUCGAUUGGAAGUGGGGGUUGCUUACCAUCAGAGCAACCCCUCGGUUGGAGGUGGGGUUGCACAUCAUACUUUAGUGCAAAUCCUAGCUCCAAAAUAAGGCAGCCCCAUACUAGGGAAACAACAUAAAGACGGUUUCAUCAUUAGGGAUGUUGAAUUAUCAGAAGAAAAAAAUGCAAGGCUUUGAAAGUUGUUUGAAAAGACUUGAUUUCAUGAAGAACAUAAAUUAUUUAAGCUGAGUAAAAGACCUGACUCACAUGCUCUCCUUUUUGAACUUUUUACAAGUAUGACAGCAACAACAAUAACAACAAUUAUCCAAUAUAGUUCCAUAAAGUGGGGUCUGGGAGGGUAGAGCUGUUUCCAAUCGACUUAUUACAAGUAUGACCUUUUUUCUAAAUAUAUAAGAAAAGACAGAGUAGAAUGUUUGGGUGAAGUGAACAACGCUCAUAAGUGUAUAAAGUAGAGAUUAAAUAAAGAAAAAAUGCUCAUGUUCUACAAAUGAAAUACAUUGAAAAAUUUCUUAAAACUCAAUAUUUCAAAAGGAACAGAAUCCAUCUUCAAACUCAAAAUCCAAGUAAAUUCAACCUAAAAGAAGCCUUUUUAUACAAUUACUGAACUCAAGAUACCCAAUAUAAUAUCGAGCAUGCAAUCACAAUAACAACACCAAAAGGUCUAGAAUUUCAAAAAACGAAAAAAGAAAAAAACUUUCAGCUUACCUAAGAGAAAACUGAGAUAGGACCGUCAAGAUCGAGAAUUGAAAAAAUAUAGGAAUGAAACUUCAAAAACUUCGGACGGUUUGGAACAACGUACCCUCGUAAUGCUUUUCAAACUUCAUAUUUUCCUCAUUCCUUCUUUAGCUUCAGACCACUGUCGGUUCCUCUAGAUUGCAAAUGGGUCGGAAAAUUUGAGGUAAAAUUAGAGAAUACAUUUACCACAAAAAAAGGAAUUGAGAUUUGAACAUAUACUUGAUCGAAUCAAAAUUUGUAAUUAGGGUUUUUGAAUCUCUACCAUAUGGUUCAUAUUUUGUGAUUUGAGUAGAUAGAUUUGAGACAUUUGAGGUUUUCGACUGUAGAGAACAUUGAGAAUUUUACAGAGAAGAGGGAGCAAACAAGUGGUACUGCAGAAAGAAAUCGAGCAAAGAGACAUUUGAUAAGUUUGAGGUUUUUGAUUAAGAAAU
RNAcentral lists this long non-coding RNA (2994 nucleotides) under Nicotiana benthamiana. Its description in RNAcentral is "long non-coding RNA (NBEN_LNC005677)". The record is from RNAcentral. Lineage: Eukaryota; Viridiplantae; Streptophyta; Magnoliopsida; Solanales; Solanaceae.